GAAUUUUGGGCAAUGGCCGAAAGGCUGACCCAGCGACGCCGCGUGCGGGAGGAAGCCCCUCGGGGUGUAAACCGCUGUCAGGGGGGACGAAACCCGGAGUACCGAACAGGGCUCCGGCUGACGGUACCUCCAAAGGAAGCGCCGGCUAACUCCGUGCAAGCCGCCGCGGUAAGACGGAGGGCGCGAGCGUUGUUCGGAACCACUGGGCGUAAAGCGCGCGCAGGCGGAUCAUGUAAGUCGGAAGUGAAAUCCCGGGGCUCAACUCCGGGGCUGCUCCCGAGACUGCGGAUCUGGGGACCGGUAGAGGCGGGUAGAAUUCCCGGUGUAGCGGUGGAAUGCGUAGAGAUCGGGAAGAACACCUGUGGCGAAGGCGGCCCGCUGGGCCGGAUCCGACGCUGAGGCGCGAAAGCGUGGGGAGCAAACAGG
RNAcentral lists this ribosomal RNA (426 nucleotides) under uncultured bacterium. RNAcentral's name for it is "bacterial SSU rRNA". It matches the Rfam family "Bacterial small subunit ribosomal RNA", at positions 359 to 776 of the family's 1533-position model. The record is from RNAcentral.